Molecule: long non-coding RNA, 1221 nt
Filed under: Homo sapiens (human)
Lineage: Eukaryota; Metazoa; Chordata; Mammalia; Primates; Hominidae
Description: non-protein coding BOK-AS1:1
Source: RNAcentral
CCAGGCGUCCCGGGACCGGCGCGGCACGCUCGGGCGCGCUCCAGGAGAGGCCGGCGCGCAGCAGCCGCGCGUGCACGUACUCCCGGCCCAGCGCCUUGGCCUGGGCCACCAGCUCCUUGUCUGUGGGCGAGCGGUCAAAGGCGUCCAUGAUCUCGGCGGCGAAGACCGAGGAGCGCCGCAGCACCUCCAUGGCGGCGACGCGGGUGGGGGGCGCCGCACCUGCGGGCACAAGCGCUCAGCCGGGUGGAGGGAGGCGGCGCGGGGAACGGGGCGCGCGGGGCGCCGGGCUGGGCGUGGCCCUCGGGAAGGGCCGUAGCCGGCGCCGGGUCCGCUCUCGUUUUUUGUGCCCCAAAUCUUUAAAAACCCAGCGCCACCUUCUUUCAGAGCCCGAAUUCAGCUACAGACAUUCCCCGAGGCUGCCAGGGACCGGUGGGGCCGCGGGGAGACGGCGGUUUGCUCCGGGGCCGCCGGGCCCGCCCUCGAAGACGAGUGCGUGGGCGGCGGGGGCGGAGGGCACAGCCCAGCGCGUCCCCCACGGCGACUGCCAGGACCCGGCCCUCCCCGCCCCGGCCCGGGGCCGCCCACCUCCGCCGCUGGCGUCCUGCGCGCGUGUCCCCGGCCUCGCCGUUCCCGUGGCACCCCGGGCACCCCGGCACGGACGCCACGCCCGCCGCGCUCACCUCUCCCGCCGCAUGGCGCGGGCGCCGGGGUGGAGUUCUGGCUUCAGGAUCUGCUCGCCGCCGACGACGACCUCGACCCUUCCAUUCAGACCCGCGAGGACGCGCGCCCCGCCCCGGCGCCCGCCCCGUCCACGCCCGAGCCGGGAGCGCCAGGUCCACGGGGCUUCCCGCGCUCUUGGGGGGCUCCUGCCGCGGCGUCGGGGGCCUGGGCAGCGAGGUGGGCAGCGCGCGACUCCCAGCUGGCGAGAGGCUGGGCUUGGGGCUUGGCCUUCUAAGGGAAAGGCAACCCUGGGGGCGGAGUCGGGGAGACGCUUUCCGAGCUUCCCCGCUUAAGGAGGACCGAGCGAGUUCCCUGGAUGCGCCCGGAGAAGGCGACCAGGCCGGAGCGGCCCCCGCAAGGCAGAGCAGUGGGGACCUAGAGCCAGCCCCAGCCGCCUGGGUGUUCCCCGGGGUCCAUUUGAAAAUUGGGUUGUCUUCUUCGUUCGUAGAGGUUCUUUCCAGAGUCUGGAGACGUGUUCUUGGUCCGGACGCAUGCCCUUUG